This is a long non-coding RNA of Osmia bicornis bicornis, 1026 nucleotides long. RefSeq lists it as uncharacterized. The record is from RefSeq and is a predicted model, not a curated record. NCBI's taxonomy places the organism in Eukaryota, Metazoa, Arthropoda, Insecta, Hymenoptera, Megachilidae. The transcript has 2 exons.
UCGGCGGAUUUGAAAGUUUUGUUAAUCCAUUCUUUGACAUCAAAAGUAUCUUCGGAAAACGCGGACACAUCCUGAAAGCAUCGAUUUAAGACGGAUACUACUUAUGCGGAAAAGGUCUUUCACUUCCUGAAAGACGCACUACUCUUUCACCCCGUCGCGAUCAUCACCGCUGUUUCCUCGGAACUCACAAGUUCGCGUUUGGGGAUUCUGACUGGCUACCAAGAUGCGGCAAAUCGAAGAGGAAAAGGGAGAGAAAAUGGAGAACAGCAUGUUAUCGGCCGCUUCCGGGCCCUUUGUUGAUUGCCACGCCUCCGAGACUGCGUUUGCGCGUGACGAUUUGCGCAACAGUUGGAAGUUGGAAUUUUGCCUCGAAAUAGCCUUAGCCUCGACGAAAAUAAGGAGAGCUAGCUGAGCGGAACUGCAACACAACUGUACUUUGCCCUUUUCUUUGCGAGCGUUGAACGCAUCGUCCCGAUGAGCAAAGGCUACCUCUCAGGUUCAGCUAUACACCUCGCAUGUGUGUUCGUUUUUAUACGUUACCGCGGACCUAAUAUGUACGUCAUUAGAUUAUUCGAAGCAUUCGCGAUAUUCGAUUCGAUACCUUAUUUGCACUUGCCUCGAGAUUAUACGCGAAUGAAAUGUCAAUAACUUGCGGCUUUUUUUCCUUUUCUUUUCAUUUUCUUUCUUAUAUCGCAGAUUUGAAAUAAUAUCACGAAAUUUGACGCUCUCUCAACGUGUAACGAGGAAAUUAUUCUUUCGCAUAAAGUUGAACUUUAUUACGGACGACAAUCAGACUCAAUCAGUAGAGUAUAUUAGAACCGUAUGCAUUUAAUGUCGCAUAUAAAGUGCGUCGAUCAGAAGUCCAAUUUUGUAAUCUCGCUGUGCAUACGAAUGCGUGCCGCUGAUAAAUUGCCCUUCAAUUCGACUAGACUGGAACAAUUUCAAAAUCCUCCAUCUUGAUUUACCCUGUUACAUCAUCGAAAAUAAUGUUAUCGUUCUUUUAAUUAUACGCCAACGUUAAUCCUU